RNAcentral lists this long non-coding RNA (674 nucleotides) under Brassica napus (rape). RNAcentral describes it as "long non-coding RNA (BNAP_LNC000543)". The record is from RNAcentral. Lineage: Eukaryota; Viridiplantae; Streptophyta; Magnoliopsida; Brassicales; Brassicaceae.
GAAUUUUCUUGACCAAAAUUAUAUCUGCUCGUGAGGGUUAUUACAUUCUUCCCCCCUCAAAAGAAUUCGUCCCCGAAUUCUGAAAACGUAACUGUACACUCUUUACUGAACAGUCUCUGAAAGGAGUUCUGGAUAUUAGCUCUGACCUUAUCUUAAUCUGCCCAUAUCAAAACAACUCAUGGUUGAUCCCUUGAUUCUCCCAACCGAUCCUUUCUUUUAUGAGCAGCCACUUUCAAGAUAACCAAAUUCUUUACUCUGCACAACUCUUGUCAACUGCGGUCUGCAUACUUUUUCUAACAAUCUUGUAUCUAUAGACUAUCACUUCUCAACCUUUUUUAUCUGGCUUUCUCCCAUAACAGCAACAUGAAAUUUGGAACGUGAGGUGAUGUGCCAUACGUGAAUGUAACAUCUCCAGUCUGGUCAAUGUUAACUUGAUUAACCGUGCAACAAUCAAACAAGAACAUGCACGAUCAAUCACGCUAACAUGAUUCAGACCAAGGGUGCCACUCUCAAAUACACACAAACACACUUAUUCCAGAAAUGAUUUCCCUUACAGUAUUCCAUACCCUUCUUAUCUAUCUGAGAUACUCUUCAAAAACUUCUGAACGACUCAAUCUCACUGAAAUUUCGCAUAUCCAAGUCUUGUUCUAUUACUUUCUGAUUUCCUUCUUCUG